UACGGAGGGAGCUAGCGUUGUUCGGAAUCACUAGGCGUAAAGCGCACGUAGGCGGAUGUGUCAGUCAGGGGUGAAAUCCCGGAGCUCAACUUCGGAACUGCCCUUGAUACAGCACGUCUUGAGUCCGAUAGAGGUGGGUGGAAUUCCUAGUGUAGAGGUGAAAUUCGUAGAUAUUAGGAAGAACACCGGUGGCGAAGGCGGCCCACUGGAUCGGUACUGACGCUGAGGUGCGAAAGCGUGGGGAGCAAACAGG
RNAcentral lists this ribosomal RNA (253 nucleotides) under uncultured bacterium. Its description in RNAcentral is "partial 16S ribosomal RNA". It matches the Rfam family "Bacterial small subunit ribosomal RNA", at positions 524 to 776 of the family's 1533-position model. The record is from RNAcentral.